This 482-nucleotide ribosomal RNA is filed under the name uncultured bacterium. RNAcentral's name for it is "partial 16S ribosomal RNA". It matches the Rfam family "Bacterial small subunit ribosomal RNA", at positions 30 to 507 of the family's 1533-position model. The record is from RNAcentral.
AUUGAACGCUGGCGGCAUGCCUUACACAUGCAAGUCGAACGGUAACGGGCCUUCGGGUGCCGACGAGUGGCGAACGGGUGAGUAAUACAUCGGAACGUGCCCGAUCGUGGGGGAUAACGAGGCGAAAGCUUUGCUAAUACCGCAUACGAUCUACGGAUGAAAGCAGGGGACCGCAAGGCCUUGCGCGGACGGAGCGGCCGAUGGCAGAUUAGGUAGUUGGUGGGAUAAAAGCUUACCAAGCCGACGACCUGUAGCUGGUCUGAGAGGAUGAUCAGCCACACUGGGACUGAGACACGGCCCAGACUCCUACGGGAGGCAGCAGUGGGGAAUUUUGGACAAUGGGCGCAAGCCUGAUCCAGCCAUGCCGCGUGCAGGAUGAAGGCCUUCGGGUUGUAAACUGCUUUUGUACGGAACGAAAAGCCUUCUUUUAAUACAGGAGGGUCAUGACGGUACCGUAAGAAUAAGCACCGGCUAACUACGUG